Cricetulus griseus (Chinese hamster) is the source of this 6466-nucleotide non-coding RNA. NCBI's taxonomy places the organism in Eukaryota, Metazoa, Chordata, Mammalia, Rodentia, Cricetidae. The record is from RefSeq and is a predicted model, not a curated record.
GAUUGGGGGAAAUCAGGAAGUCCAGGCUCCCUUCCAAAGCAAAUUGGAAAGAUCCGCAGCAGCCAGGGCCGUAAGACAAACAAGAGUCCCCAAAUGCAAGAGUAGCAGAGGAUGUUUCCUUUCUAUGAAAAGCCAGGAAGACACGGGCACAUGAGUACAACAAAACUACGUCAGAGAACCUAGGCCUGUGAGCUUGGCAAAGACUCAACAGUGAAGGAUGCUGUCACCUCUCCAGGACCAUGGGACGGAGUGGCACCUAAGCGGGGUGUGAAGACACCUGCAGACUGCCAGCCUGUCUUCCGCAUCCCCAUCAUGGUGCCCACAGAUCCAGUGGGAGAAGCAGGGAGGUCCACAGUUUCAGGCCACACGAAGGUGCACGUGUCAGGAUUAUCUAUAAGGAAGGCAAUGGGAAGACAUCGAUACACAGAGGGUAAACACCAAGCGAGGCCAAGGAAUGGUGGUACCAACAGAAGCUGCAAGAACCAAGGAAGGAGUCUUCCCUAGAGCCUUCAGAGGGAACCUGGCCCUACUCACUUGAUUUCAGACUUCUGGCUUCCAGAAGGGUGAAAGAAUGCAUUUGUGGUUUUGUUGUUGUUGUUGGACACAGCGUUUCACAUAGCCUAGACUGGCCCCAAAGUAGCUAUUUAGCUGAGGAUGACCUCGAACUUUGGUCUUCCACCUCCAUUGUUCAAGUGUUGGGAUUAUAGGCACGUACCACCAUGCCUGGUCUUUGUGGUGCUGGGCAAUGAACUCAGUCCUUCAUGAACUAACUCCAAAACCAAGCUUUAUCCCCAGCCCAGUUUCUGUUGUUCUAAACUGCCCAGUUUGUGGUGCUUUGUCAUUGUGCCCUGGGAAGCAAUGAGCAGGCAGGAGUAGUGUGGUGACACUGGGACCUUCCUGGGCCCCUUGUGAAGCCUGAGCUGAGCUCCCUCCCCUAAGCUGCCUUUCAGAUCCUCACAGCAACUGAGGAAGUGCGGUUUCUUCCUAGUUGUGAUUCUGAGUAUCAAUAAAGACACAUGGGAGGAAACCACGAAGCCACUAGCAAUGCCCCACAGUGAAGUCUCCUCUCUCCCUCACUACCCAGCCUUCUCCUCUGGGGUAGCCCUGGGAACUGGGUUCUGCUAGAGCCUUGCAUAGGUACGCAAGCCACAGUGUCUGCCUGCCCAGCCUAUACACCUGCCUAAGCACAGAUUUACUAGGCCAGAUGCUGUCUGCUUUGCCUCACUUCCCAAUGUAGCUUGAGCUUCUGGCCUUAUUGGCAACACAGAACUCAGACUGCAUCCUGACUUCUUGGAAGUCCACUCACUGGGACCGAACACUGUCCUCUGUUUACAGUGGUGCUUCACUGGCCAUCUCUCUUCCUGUUCUCCACAAGGUGAUUCCAGCUUACCUUACUUUCUUCCGCUCUCCCCAGCUCUCCCCUUGCUCCCUCCCUUCCUCAGCAUUCUAGCGUUAGCAAGUUGCAGCACCUUUGUGCAGAGGCUCCAGCCAGCUGCCCGAGGUCACCACAGACCCAGUGCAUCUGAAGACUGUGGCUCAGCCCUGUCUACUUCUCCCUAACUCCCUGCCUGUCUGCCUUCACCUCUGACCUGGUUCCUUCCCUGACACCCUAACCUCAAUUCAAUCCCCAUGCAUUCUCCAGCCAGCAGCCAGCAUGGUCACUGGACACUUUGGUGACUGCCUGCUCCCUUUAGUCAAGCCCAGUGUCCUUUCCUAACUUCUAGAAUCACUGCCCAUCUCUCUGCCUCACCCCACGCCAACUGCUUAUUCCCCCAGGCUCUCUGGUCUUCGGAGUUCUUUUGAAGGAACCAGGAACUUUCUGCUGUGGAAUAUUCCUGUACACUCCAUAAAUUAUGUUCUGACUGGUUUAAUAAAGAAGCUGACUGACCAGUAGCCAGGCACGAUAAGGUUAGGUGGAAAAGCCAAACUGAGAAUGAUGGGGAGAAGAAGGGCGGAGUCAGGGGAGAUGCCAGUCAGCCACCAGAGGAACACAGGUAAAGUCACGAGACAAGUGGCAAAACAUGGAUGAACAGAAAUGGGUUAAUUGAAAAGUAAAAGCUAGUUAGUAAUAAGCCUGAGCUGUUCAGCCAAUAAUUUUUUAAUUAAUAUUAAGCCUCUAAGUGAUUGUUUAGAAGCAGCUUGGGGAUGGAGCGGGACAGAGAAACCUCCGUUUACGCUUUAUGGUCCCAGGGCCUUUGCAUAUGGGCUCCCUCUUCCUACUCCAUUGGGUAGCUUCUUUUCCUUCAAGGUCCCAGGAGGCUUGACUCCCCCGUUGUUUUCUGCCUCUACUCAUGGCUUGCCUCUUUUACAUUAUGGCUCCAAUAUGACUGUUUCUGACACGUGAUCUCUAUGAUAGACCAUGUUACUGACAACACCUGACUCAGGACAGACUUUUCACUAGACUGUGCUCGGUGACUAAGCAAAUGACAAACGCCCAUUCCAGAGACCCAGCUUUAAUGAGAGAAGCCCGGUGAGAGGUGAACAAAUUGUCACGGUGUUCUGUUACUUUUCUUGUGACUGUGACCAAAUGCCUGACAAGCAACUUAGUUGGGGGAAGGUUUAUUUUGGCUCACUGUUGGAGAGGGUGUGGGUUUAGGGGUGGACAGACUUUGGCAGCAGAUGUGGAAGGUGGCUGCUUACAUCCCAUUGGCAGUCAGGAAGCUCAGCCCUUCCUUGGAAGAAAGCAGGACUGGCAUUGCCACAAGGCCCACCACUCAAGAACCUACUGUCUUCAGCCAAGCCCUCCAGGUCCCUAAAGGCUCUGCAAUUUACCAAAAUAGUAACACAGAUGGGAGCAAGUGUUCAAACAUGCGGAUUUCUAGGGGACAGCUCACAUUCAAACCAUAAAACAUUCACUCAUGUCUUCCCUACCUACAGUGAAGACAUAGGACCCACAGUCAUCAAGACAGUGGGAAUCCCACCUCUCCAAAGGCCUGAUCUCCUGGGGAGGCAGCUCAGAAUCGUAUCAGGACUAUCAAGAAGUGGGGUGUUGCUCUUACAGUGUUCUCUGUCUGCUUUAAGUCCCGCUGUCUCUGCUCUCAACAAGAGAUCUUUUCAGAUUGUUGGUGAAAUCUUAGUCUCACAGAAAUCUAGACUAAUAAAUAUUCUCUGCCCCCCUCCCCCAACUCACUGAAAAGUCAGCCUUUGCUAAGCACUUGAUCAACCUUCCCUGAAGGAAGGAGCAGGGACAGGAACCUGGGGCUUCAGUCCAGAGUCAGCCUUGGGAAGGGAGACCUGGCCCUUGUUCAGCCCCAGAAAGGAAGUGCACAGGGCCCUGGAAGCGCGACACUUAGCUUCAUCUUCUGCACUGCUUGUUUAGAGUUCCAUAAGCAGUGUCUCCUCAAGGAGUGAAACAUAGCCGCUCCUCUAGCUUCUCGGUUUCUUUUUAAAGUUCUUUCUGAAAUACAAAACACACAGAGAAGCUUCACCCUUUGUACAUGACGUGGUUGAGAUGAUUAUUUGCAAAUAUUUACCGCCCGCCCGACUCCACUCGUGCUGGAUAUAGACUGGGGGUUUGCUUUUGCUAACAGAGUGUGGGAAGCUGUCGAGCAGAGUUCCAAGUAGAGACCCAAGGAGACCUGGUGCUUCCUUUGACCUUUCUUCAUCUUAUCUCAGAUGGAUGUCAGUUAGAGGAGGAGGAGUACGUGGGACAGCCAUGCCUGCAACCCUCAGACAAGCUUGACCCAGAGCAGCUGACUCCUAAACCCACAAGCCAGUCAGCAAGAAACAUGUGCUAUGGCAGCAGCUAACGUCUUCAUAAUUUCUCAUAUAUUCUAUAUGCGUCUGUAGGCAGUAUAGAUCAGAUAGAACAUCUCCAGAACCCUUGGAUCCGAAUUCCCUGUCUCCUAUUGGUUACUGAACCCCUUCCUAGGGAGCCACUAGCCUGACUUCUCAUCUGGGACCUAUGAUGGAUAAUUUUUGUCAACUUGAUACAAACCACAUUCAUCCAGGGAAGAGGGAGCCUCCAUUGGAAUUGCCUCCGUCAGAUUGGCCUUUGGGCAUGUCUAUAGGGCAUCUUCUUGAUUAGUGAUGACUACGAGAGGACCCAUCAUAUUGUGGGAAGCCCCCCUCCCCCCCGCAAGGGUCCUGGGCUGAAUGAGAAAGUAAGCUGAUCAGGCAGUGGACUCUCCCAAGGUUCCUGCCUCCAGUUUCCUGCUUUGAGGUCUUUUCCUGAAUUCCCUUUCCUCAAUGAUGAACUGUAACUUGCAACCUGAGAUAAACUCCUUUUCUCUGCAGCUUACUUCUAGUCAACAGUGUUUAUCACAGCAACAAUCAGCAAGCUAGAUUUUUAACUUUAAAAGAAAGUAAAUGUACAAAAACAAUCCUCAAUUAGGUCUGCAUUCUUUAGCUCAAUAUCCCCGUUAUAAGAUUUCCUCAAGGGUGCAGUUUAGUUCACUCAUUCCAUUCUAUUGUUGAGUUGUUCUUAUUUUCAGGUAUGAUAAGUAGUAUUGCCAUUAAGUCUCAUGCAAGAGUAUGUACUUUGAAUAACAUAUUGACACACUCUGUUUGCUCUAUUCUAGGAGGAAAAUUGUAGAAAGAUAAAUGUCGAUGGCAUUUGUUGGCUGCACUCCACAGUGAGGCAGGGGCAUAUCCAGCUUGAGUAACUGCUACCAAACAGCUUUCCUAAGUUCUUCUGCCAGUCCACACUCCUAGCAGCUUUGAGCACUCUCACUGGUCAAUAUCUUUGCCAGUACUUGGUGCUUCCCACCUUUUUAAAUUUAGUCAUCUGAUGGGUGUGUACCAAAGUCACAUUAUGGUUUUUGAGUUUCCCAGAUGACUAAUCGCCUUAAACAAGUUCCCACGUAUUUAUGGGCACACGUGUAUAUGUGUGCUCAAGCCUUUUGCUUAUUUUUCUAUUGGAUUGCCUAUCUUUUUCUUAUUGGUUUGUAGAUGUUCUGUAUAUAUUAUUGAAAUGAUCUCUACUACAAGUCUUACAGAAAUCUUUCAUUGUGUGUUCUCAACUAUAUUUUUUGUUGAAUAGAAGUCCAUCAUUUUAAAAUAUAGUUCUAUUUCAUUUCAGAGUACAGUUCAAUUUAUAAAUUUUUUAAUCUUUUAUAGUUAUAGACCUUUUUUCCUGCCUAGGAAUGUCUGUCUACUCGGAGGUUAUGAAGAUGCUCUCUUGUGUUUUGUUCUAGAAUCUUUAUUGGUCAACUGAAAUUAACAUAUGAUAUGGUAUGAGGUAGGAGGUUACAAUACUCCCCACUCCUCUGUAUAAAUAUCUAGUUGACCCAGAGCUAUUUAAUUAAGAAGGCCACCAUUUCCCCCACUGCACUGUAGUGUGAUUGUUUUGCCUUUGAAAACUGAUGAACAAUGUUUGGUGAGCAUGGUCUCAAACCAAAGGUACCAGGUUCACAUCCUAGAUUCAGGCGAGAGUUAAUUCCUAUCUGAGUCUCGGCUUUCUCACCUGUGUCCAAGAGAAAUAAACUUUUCACCUCUGCCUGGAAGGCAUCAAAGGGGAAAGAACAUCCAAAGCAUUUAGCGCCAGGCAGUGGCUGUGCUCUGUCACCUCUGUUGUUGUCAUUGUCACAACCUCUGCCUUCAGGACCAGAGCUUAAUUCAAGUGGUUAAUUCUGAUCCAGGAAACAAAUUUUCUGUCUGUGCUCAGUUCUAUUUCCAAGUCUCUGCAACCCCUAAUGCAGACCAGCUGGCCACUCCUGGUGAGUCCUUGUUCCUCUCUGUGUCCCUGUCCCAUCCUCAGGCACCAUCCCUCUGGGCCCCUGAGUAUUGCCAACCCUUGUCCUCCUGAGCAUUACAUAACCCUGUGUAUUUGCUGCUUGUCCCAGCUCACGGCUGUCCUUUGAAGGCAGAGGCCAGCUUCCUACGGAGCAGGCAUCACCCAGCAUAGUGUUCUGGUUUGUUUGUGACACCCAGCCAGCUGUUGGACUGUCCAGUGGGGAAUCAGAGGAUGCUUCUCUGUAAGACAACAUCCUGUCUUUGUGCAGCUGCUUUGUGGAGGGACAGCCAUGGGAGAAACCUACUGGCUAACAUCUUUGGCAGUGAAAUUUGAACCCAAAGCAAAGCCUAGAUAAAAUAAACACCAGACAUUUUGCAUUCAACCUGGUUACAGUUAUGUGACCUUGAUUAUUAACAUUGUUAUUUUGGCACCUCUCCUAGGGAAGGAGAGUUCACAGUCCUGCUGAUGCUGGAGUGACUAGAUUGGAAAUAAGGUCCCCUGGGGUUGGGCUUCUAUCUAUGGAAAUGUCAAUGGUUUAUUCACAUUUAAAGAGGGCUGCAAAGGUCACCAUUUGUGAUUUUCAAAGUCACAAAAGCUAAGUGUUUUUCAGGGAACCUGUAACUAAAAUGCUUGAAUCUUUUCCAACCUGCUUGUGAUUGUCAAGGCUGGUACCUGGGCCUUAUUUGUUUAGUCUGCACACACCCAUACAGUAACAUAUUGUGUCUGGCCCUAUGCUAGCUUUGGGGGCGGGUGCUCAAAAAGACAAAUGUUCUGCCUUUUGAAGCUGUUUCA